This 372-nucleotide unclassified non-coding RNA is filed under the name uncultured Fomitopsidaceae. RNAcentral's name for it is "sequence contains ITS1". The stretch from base 1 to 105 matches the Rfam family "5.8S ribosomal RNA", at positions 50 to 154 of the family's 154-position model. The record is from RNAcentral. Lineage: Eukaryota; Fungi; Basidiomycota; Agaricomycetes; Polyporales; Fomitopsidaceae.
GAAAUGCGAUAAGUAAUGUGAAUUGCAGAAUUCAGUGAAUCAUCGAAUCUUUGAACGCACCUUGCGCUCCUUGGUAUUCUGAGGAGCAUGCCUGUUUGAGUGUCAUGGAAUCAUCAACCGUUCGUCCUUUGUUGGAUGCAGCGGCUUGGACUUGGAGGCUUAUGCUGGUUUCUUAACGGGAUCGGCUCCUCUUGAAUGCAUUAGCUUGAACCUAUGCUGUAUCGGCUGUUCGGUGUGAUAAUUGUCUACGCCGUGGCUGUGAGGCCCGUUGAAAGACGGUGGUAGGAUCAGCUUCUAACCGUCCCUGCGAACGGGACAACAUCUUAAUUGACCUCUGACCUCAAAUCAGGUAGGAUUACCCGCUGAACUUAA